This 254-nucleotide ribosomal RNA is filed under the name uncultured bacterium. RNAcentral's name for it is "partial 16S ribosomal RNA". It matches the Rfam family "Bacterial small subunit ribosomal RNA", at positions 524 to 776 of the family's 1533-position model. The record is from RNAcentral.
CACGUAGGGGGCAAGCGUUGUCCGGAUUUAUUGGGCGUAAAGAGCUCGUAGGCGGUUCGAUAAGUCGGGUGUGAAACCUCCAGGCUCAACCUGGAGACGCCACCCGAUACUGUUGUGACUAGAGUCCGGUAGGGGAGCGUGGAAUUCCUGGUGUAGCGGUGAAAUGCGCAGAUAUCAGGAGGAACACCAGCGGCGAAGGCGGCGCUCUGGGCCGGUACUGACGCUGAGGAGCGAAAGCGUGGGUAGCGAACAGG